RNAcentral lists this ribosomal RNA (484 nucleotides) under uncultured bacterium. Its description in RNAcentral is "partial 16S ribosomal RNA". It matches the Rfam family "Bacterial small subunit ribosomal RNA", at positions 30 to 507 of the family's 1533-position model. The record is from RNAcentral.
AUUGAACGCUGGCGGCAGGCCUAACACAUGCAAGUCGAGCGGAUGAAGGGAGCUUGCUCCUGGAUUCAGCGGCGGACGGGUGAGUAAUGCCUAGGAAUCUGCCUGGUAGUGGGGGAUAACGUCCGGAAACGGGCGCUAAUACCGCAUACGUCCUGAGGGAGAAAGUGGGGGAUCUUCGGACCUCACGCUAUCAGAUGAGCCUAGGUCGGAUUAGCUAGUUGGUGGGGUAAAGGCCUACCAAGGCGACGAUCCGUAACUGGUCUGAGAGGAUGAUCAGUCACACGGGAACCGAGACACGGUCCCGACUCCUACGGGAGGCAGCAGUGGCGAAUAUUGGACAAUGGGCGAAAGCCUGAUCCAGCCAUGCCGCGUGUGUGAAGAAGGUCUUCGGAUUGUAAAGCACUUUAAGUUGGGAGGAAGGGCAGUAAGUUAAUACCUUGCUGUUUUGACGUUACCAACAGAAUAAGCACCGGCUAACUUCGUG